UACGGAGGGUGCAAGCGUUGUUCGGAAUUACUGGGCGUAAAGCGCGUGUAGGCGGUCAGGUAAGUCAGAUGUGAAAGCCUUCCGCUUAACGGAAGAAGGGCAUUUGAAACUACCUGGCUGGAGUACGGGAGAGGAGAGUGGAAUUCCCGGUGUAGAGGUGAAAUUCGUAGAUAUCGGGAGGAACACCAGUGGCGAUGGCGGCUCUCUGGCCCUAUACUGACGCUGAGACGCGAAAGCGUGGGGAG
Molecule: ribosomal RNA, 245 nt
Filed under: uncultured bacterium
Lineage: Bacteria
Description: partial 16S ribosomal RNA
Rfam family: Bacterial small subunit ribosomal RNA
Source: RNAcentral